ACUUAUGAGAGUUUGAUCCUGGCUCAGGAUGAACGCUGGCGGCAUGACUAAGGCAUGCAAGUCGAACGCCCCGAUUUAUCGGGGAGUGGCAAACGGGUGCGUAACACAUUGGUAACCUGCCCCCUGCUGGGGAACAACUCCGCGAAAGCGGGGCUAAUACCGCAUAGUUUCGCUUAUCAUAAGAUGAGUGAAUAAAGCUAUGGACAUUGCAGUGUGCAAGAGUGCUUAGAAGCAAUGAAAAUAAACAAGUAGAUGAUAAUUUUCAUUGUCUUAUAGAGCAUUCUUGUAUAGUGUAAUGUCCAUGGCGGAAGGGGAGGGGCCUAUGGCCUAUCAGCUUGUUGGUGAGGUAAAAGCUUACCAAGGCAAUGACGGGUAGCGGGUGUGAGAGCACGACCCGCCUCACUGGGACUGAGACACUGCCCAGACUCCUACGGGAGGCUGCAGUCAUGAAUAUUCCACAAUGGCCGAAAGGCUGAUGGAGCAAUGCCGCGUGAUCGAAGAAGCUUUUCGGAGUGUAAAGAUCUUUUCUGUGGGAAGAAUGCGUGACGGUACCACAGGAAUAAGAGGUUGCUAACUCUGUGCCAGCAGCAGCGGUAAUACAGAGACCUCAAGCGUUAUCCGGAUUUAUUGGGCGUAAAGCGUCCGUAGGCGGUUUGAUACGUUACUGGUUAAAUCUUUGGGCUCAACCCAAAGACCGCCGGUAAUACGGUCAAACUUGAGGCCGGGAGAGGUAAGCGGAAUUGCCGGUGUAGUAGUAAAAUGCGUUGAUAUCGGCAGGAACACCAAAUGCGAAAGCAGCUUACUGGAACGGUUCUGACGCUCAGGGACGAAAGCGUGGGUAGCGAAUGGGAUUAGAUACCCCAGUAGUCCACGCCGUAAACGAUGGAUACUAGGCAUUGGAAGUAUCGACCCUUUCAGUGUCGUUUACUCAAGGUAACCCCUUAAGUAUCCCGCCUGGGGAGUACGAGCGCAAGCUUAAAACUCAAAGGAAUUGACGGGAGCCCGCACAAGCGGUGGAGCAUGUGGUUUAAUUCGACGAUAAGCGAGGAACCUUACCAAGGCUUGACAUCUGGCUGCAAGCUCCUUAAUCGGAGCCGCUUUCGAAGGUGCCAGACAGGUGCUGCAUGGUUGUCGUCAGCUCGUGCCGUGAGGUGUAUGGUUAAGUCCAGUAACGAGCGCAACCCUUACUCUAUGUUACCCAUUUCAUAGAGAACUGCCCCGCACAACGGGGAGGAAGGCGGGGAUGACGUCAAAUCAGCAUGGCUCUUACGCCUUGGGCUACACACGUGCUACAAUGGCCGGUACAACGGGUCGCCAAACCGCAAGGUGGAGCUAACCCCUUAAAACCGGUCCCAGUUCGGAUUGAGGGCUGAAACCCGCCCUCAUGAAGUCGGAAUCGCUAGUAAACGCGAAUCAGCCUCGUCGCGUUGAAUACGUUCCCGGGCUUUGUACACACCGCCCGUCACGUCAAGGAAGUUGGCAAUACCCGAAUGUCGCAGGUUUGCGGCAGAAGGUAGGGCUGAUAACAGGGACGAAGUCGUAACAAGGCAUCCGUAGCGGAAGCUGUGGAUGGAUCACCUCCUUU
Parcubacteria group bacterium CG2_30_48_51 is the source of this 1585-nucleotide non-coding RNA. The record is from Rfam.